Molecule: ribosomal RNA, 253 nt
Filed under: uncultured bacterium
Lineage: Bacteria
Description: partial 16S ribosomal RNA
Rfam family: Bacterial small subunit ribosomal RNA
Source: RNAcentral
UACGUAGGGUGCAAGCGUUGUCCGGAAUUAUUGGGCGUAAAGAGCUCGUAGGCGGUUUGUCGCGUCUGCUGUGAAAACUCGGGGCUUAACCCCGGGCCUGCAGUGGGUACGGGCAGACUAGAGCGCGGUAGGGGAGACUGGAAUUCCUGGUGUAGCGGUGGAAUGCGCAGAUAUCAGGAGGAACACCGGUGGCGAAGGCGGGUCUCUGGGCCGUAACUGACGCUGAGGAGCGAAAGCGUGGGGAGCGAACAGG